ACGAACGCUGGCGGCAGGCUUCAUACAUGCAAGUCGAGCGGAAAGGCCCCUUCGGGGGUACUCGAGCGGCGAACGGGUGAGUAACAGGUGGGUAAUCUGCCUUUCGGAGGGGGAUAACGGCUGGAAACGGCCGCUAAUACCCCGUACGGUUGCGAAGCUCUCGGGCUUUGCAAAGAAAGGGGCCUUUAAAGCCCCGCCGAAAGAUGAGCCCGCCCCCCAUUAGCUAGUUGGCGGGGUAAUGGCCCACCAAGGCUGUGAUGGGUAGCCGAGCUGAGAGGUUGAUCGGCCACACUGGAACUGAGACACGGUCCAGACACCUACGGGUGGCAGCAGUAGGGAAUAUUGCGCAAUGGGCGAAAGCCUGACGCAGCCAUGCCGCGUGGAUGAUGAAGGCCUUCGGGUCGUAAAGUCCUUUUCUGAGGGAAGAACUGCCGGGGGAGGAAAUGCCCUUGGCUUGACGGUACCUCAGGAAUAAGCAACGGCUAACUCCGUG
Molecule: ribosomal RNA, 493 nt
Filed under: uncultured bacterium
Lineage: Bacteria
Description: bacterial SSU rRNA
Rfam family: Bacterial small subunit ribosomal RNA
Source: RNAcentral